This 816-nucleotide long non-coding RNA is filed under the name Homo sapiens (human). RNAcentral's name for it is "HSALNT0027273". The record is from RNAcentral. Lineage: Eukaryota; Metazoa; Chordata; Mammalia; Primates; Hominidae.
AAGAAAAGGGAAAAGGGCUGUCCCCAUCCUUCUAAGGAGAUGGUAAGUGCAACACAACACUUCUGCUCACAACUCUUCAGCCAGAACUUCAUCACACAGCCUAUUAAGAAGGCCAGAAAAUGUGUAAUCCUUUAACUGGGAUCUUUGCAGUUCCAAAAACUUGGGGAUCCUAUUAUUAAGGAAUAGGAGGAAAAUGGGGCCAUUCUCACCAUAUCUUAGAAAAUUUCCGUGAAAAAGUAGUUGAAAUAAAAUAGAGCACGUGUGAGGAGAAGCACUAGGAACUGACCGUGUGGGUGUGUGAAGACUUUCCCAGUGAGGUGCAGGGUCAUCGUGUUGGCACACACUUGUGUCAACGCUGCCAAGACAGAUCUAGGAUCUGCAAAGAUCCAACUUCCAGUGCAAAAGUUAUCUCAUUUUCCUAGUAGAUUUGUCAUUCCUAGGGCUGGAGGAGGAAGGGCAGGUGGGGUUUGGAGAGAAAUGGAGAAUAACUCUAAAAUGUAUGUGGCUUCUUUUACGGUUGAUGAAAAUAUCCUAAAGUUUAUUGUGGCGAUGGGUGCACAACUCUGUGAAUCUAUGGAAGACCAUUGAAAUGUGCAUUCUAAAUGGGUGAAUUGUAUGGUAUGUACAUCGUAUCUCAAUAAAACUGUUAAAUAUCACCAACCUCUGUGUCAUCAUCAAGCUGUCCAGGGGACUCGAUGGCCACCUGGCCAGGAACUGCGGGCUGAUUGGAAGCUGUUGUUCCCAUUGUAUAAUCACACACAUCAUAAAAUAAUCAGUCUUGUCUCUAUUUACAAUUUUGAUGUUUUGUUCAUCACA